GCACCCGUAGCUCAGCUGGAUAGAGCGUUGGCCUCCGGAGCCAAAGGUCAGAGGUUCGAAUCCCCUCGGGUGCACCA
RNAcentral lists this transfer RNA (77 nucleotides) under Alphaproteobacteria bacterium. RNAcentral's name for it is "tRNA-Arg". It matches the Rfam family "tRNA". From Rfam's summary of the family: Transfer RNA (tRNA) molecules are approximately 80 nucleotides in length. The record is from RNAcentral. Lineage: Bacteria; Pseudomonadati; Pseudomonadota; Alphaproteobacteria. RNAcentral also lists the same sequence under 2 other names.